CGCGAAAAGAUGAAUAGCUAAAAAGAUAGAAGCCUUAACGAUAUUAGUCCGCGAAGUGGUCAGCCUCGGGCUGAUAGAGAGCAAUUACCUAUGACGGAGUGGGAGAUUUAAGCUUCUCUGAGGGAAGUAUAACAAACUUUAUAGAGCUUCACCGAGCUUUAUUUGAUCUUGACAAGAUACCCGAACUCGGUCGAUUUAUGUUUUACUAAUUUUAUUAUGCCCUUUUCAAUCGGUGAUAUUACUAAGGGCCGAGACAGUUCCAACAAUGAGUUGCAUCCACACCCGUGGAGGGAGCCGGACUGUGAAGGACGAGGAUUGCUUGGCCAGACCUCGGACGCGAACCCGGGUCUUUCUGCAUGGCACGCCAACGCGUUACCACGCGGUCAUUCGGUCGCCGAUCAAUCGAUAUCGUCCUCACGAUCUGUGGCAUUUCUCGUAUGGCAUCUUACACGAAACGGAAAUCUCCAACCCCUUUCUCGAUCGUCUGCGAUCGUUUUAGACAACGUUAGGGAAAGGUAUGCGCUUCGAAUGCUUUUCACCGUAACUAGGACUGAAAUUAGUCUGAAAUAUAGUUAGUGUAGUGGACACGUUGCAAGAAAUUUGCGGCGCGACCGGUUGACGGUGCUGCGACCGAGCUGAUCCUAGUGGUUCUUGUAGCGGCAGUUCUCCGCUACAACGAGGAUCGGCUUGAUCUUGAUUUGCAUGUUAUAUAUUGUUUUUUCUCUGAAAUUUUGAACUAAUUUUUUGACACUGCCUUUCUCUGUUAAUUUCCAGUUAUUCUGCAACACCGCGAACGAGGGGCCGAGAGAGAAGGCUGGCCGAACUGGCCAAGUUUGGUCAGCUUGUAUACUCUGGAGUGGCGACAUAACCCCACCCGGAGCUUGGCAAUCAUUAAAAUUGAGUAACAUGUAGCAAAAUCAAUCCCUGUAGUAACUUUUGAUGGCGCAGCGCCUUAGCCUUUC
This 962-nucleotide long non-coding RNA is filed under the name Androctonus crassicauda. Lineage: Eukaryota; Metazoa; Arthropoda; Arachnida; Scorpiones; Buthidae. The record is from RNAcentral.